UUGUCCGGAUUUACUGGGUGUAAAGGGUGCGUAGGCGGCUUUGCAAGUCAGAUGUGAAAUCUAUGGGCUCAACCCAUAAACUGCAUUUGAAACUGUAGAGCUUGAGUGAAGUAGAGGCAGGCGGAAUUCCCCGUGUAGCGGUGAAAUGCGUAGAGAUGGGGAGGAACACCAGUGGCGAAGGCGGCCUGCUGGGCUUUAACUGACGCUGAGGCACGAAAGCGUGGGUAGCAAACAGGAUUAGAUACCCUGGUAGUCCACGCGGUAAACGAUGAUUACUAGGUG
Molecule: ribosomal RNA, 282 nt
Filed under: uncultured bacterium
Lineage: Bacteria
Description: partial 16S ribosomal RNA
Rfam family: Bacterial small subunit ribosomal RNA
Source: RNAcentral